AACAAGUAAAAGAACCAAAGUAAUUCUUCAGUCUAUGAACUCAACUAUACUAAUCACUCGAAUCUAGAGCCAUAUAUAUUAAUUUCCUUAAGAUAACUUAUAACCAAGAACCAAAUUUGUAAUGAACCAAAUUUGUAAUGAACCAAAUCUAUAGUCACGGGAUUCAACUCCUAAAGGAAAAAGUACUCCCUAUAAAUGAGUAUACUUUCAUGGUGCAAAACCUAUUGGCUCUUCUUCUUGUUUCAUACUCGAAUAAUUUGUAAUCCCUCAAUUUGACCAUAUAAUCUGAACCCCAAUAUAGUCUUUGAUCAAUUACACAUAAGGCA
This 326-nucleotide long non-coding RNA is filed under the name Carica papaya (papaya). Its description in RNAcentral is "long non-coding RNA (CPAP_LNC014299)". The record is from RNAcentral. Lineage: Eukaryota; Viridiplantae; Streptophyta; Magnoliopsida; Brassicales; Caricaceae.